RNAcentral lists this ribosomal RNA (453 nucleotides) under uncultured organism. Its description in RNAcentral is "partial 16S ribosomal RNA". It matches the Rfam family "Bacterial small subunit ribosomal RNA", at positions 329 to 798 of the family's 1533-position model. The record is from RNAcentral.
ACGUACACUCCUACGGGAGGCAGCAGUGGGGAAUAUUGGACAAUAGGCGCAAGCCUGAUCCAGCCAUGCCGCGUGAGUGAUGAAGGCCCUAGGGUUGUAAAGCUCUUUCACCGGUGAAGAUAAUGACGGUAACCGGAGAAGAAGCCCCGGCUAACUUCGUGCCAGCAGCCGCGGUAAUACGAAGGGGGCUAGCGUUGUUCGGAUUUACUGGGCGUAAAGCGCACGUAGGCGGACUAUUAAGUCAGGGGUGAAAUCCCGGGGCUCAACCCCGGAACUGCCUUUGAUACUGGUAGUCUUGAGUUCGAGAGAGGUGAGUGGAAUUCCGAGUGUAGAGGUGAAAUUCGUAGAUAUUCGGAGGAACACCAGUGGCGAAGGCGGCUCACUGGCUCGAUACUGACGCUGAGGUGCGAAAGCGUGGGGAGCAAACAGGAUUAGAAACCCGGGUAGUCCCAU